This 83-nucleotide non-coding RNA is filed under the name Clostridium amylolyticum. Its description in RNAcentral is "c-di-GMP-II sequence". It matches the Rfam family "Cyclic di-GMP-II riboswitch aptamer". The record is from Rfam by way of RNAcentral. Lineage: Bacteria; Bacillati; Bacillota; Clostridia; Eubacteriales; Clostridiaceae.
UUUAUUAAAGGAGACAUAGAAGCAUAUACUUAUCUGGGCACUUUGUAUAUGUGGAGUCGCUAGUGCAACCGACCUUAAUUGUA